Molecule: ribosomal RNA, 390 nt
Filed under: Bacillus cereus
Lineage: Bacteria; Bacillati; Bacillota; Bacilli; Caryophanales; Bacillaceae
Description: bacterial SSU rRNA
Rfam family: Bacterial small subunit ribosomal RNA
Source: RNAcentral
GGCGUAAGCGCGCGCAGGUGGUUUCUUAAGUCUGAUGUGAAAGCCCACGGCUCAACCGUGGAGGGUCAUUGGAAACUGGGAGACUUGAGUGCAGAAGAGGAAAGUGGAAUUCCAUGUGUAGCGGUGAAAUGCGUAGAGAUAUGGAGGAACACCAGUGGCGAAGGCGACUUUCUGGUCUGUAACUGACACUGAGGCGCGAAAGCGUGGGGAGCAAACAGGAUUAGAUACCCUGGUAGUCCACGCCGUAAACGAUGAGUGCUAAGUGUUAGAGGGUUUCCGCCCUUUAGUGCUGAAGUUAACGCAUUAAGCACUCCGCCUGGGGAGUACGGCCGCAAGGCUGAAACUCAAAGGAAUUGACGGGGGCCCGCACAAGCGGUGGAUCAUGUGGUU